CCUACGGGAGGCAGCAGUGGGGAAUAUUGGACAAUGGGCGAAAGCCUGAUCCAGCCAUGCCGCGUGUGUGAAGAAGGCCUUCGGGUUGUAAAGCACUUUCAGUGGGGAAGAAAGCCUUGGGGCUAAUACCCUCGAGGAAGGACAUCACCCACAGAAGAAGCACCGGCUAACUCCGUGCCAGCAGCCGCGGUAAUACGGAGGGUGCGAGCGUUAAUCGGAAUUACUGGGCGUAAAGCGCGCGUAGGCGGUCUGAUAAGCCGGUUGUGAAAGCCCCGGGCUCAACCUGGGAACGGCAUCCGGAACUGUCAGGCUAGAGUGCAGGAGAGGAAGGUAGAAUUCCCGGUGUAGCGGUGAAAUGCGUAGAGAUCGGGAGGAAUACCAGUGGCGAAGGCGGCCUUCUGGACUGACACUGACGCUGAGGUGCGAAGGCGUGGGUAGCAAACAGGAUUAGCUACCCGAGUAGUC
This 465-nucleotide ribosomal RNA is filed under the name Vreelandella stevensii. RNAcentral's name for it is "partial 16S ribosomal RNA". It matches the Rfam family "Bacterial small subunit ribosomal RNA", at positions 338 to 795 of the family's 1533-position model. Lineage: Bacteria; Pseudomonadati; Pseudomonadota; Gammaproteobacteria; Oceanospirillales; Halomonadaceae. The record is from RNAcentral.